RNAcentral lists this ribosomal RNA (207 nucleotides) under uncultured bacterium. Its description in RNAcentral is "partial 16S ribosomal RNA". It matches the Rfam family "Bacterial small subunit ribosomal RNA", at positions 568 to 774 of the family's 1533-position model. The record is from RNAcentral.
AGCGUAGACGGCUGUGCAAGUCUGAAGUGAAAGGCAUGGGCUCAACCUAUGGACUGCUUUGGAAACUGUGCAGCUAGAGUGUCGGAGAGGUAAGUGGAAUUCCUAGUGUAGCGGUGAAAUGCGUAGAUAUUAGGAGGAACACCAGUGGCGAAGGCGGCUUACUGGACGAUGACUGACGUUGAGGCUCGAAAGGCGUGGGAGCAAACA